RNAcentral lists this long non-coding RNA (889 nucleotides) under Marmota monax (woodchuck). Lineage: Eukaryota; Metazoa; Chordata; Mammalia; Rodentia; Sciuridae. The record is from RNAcentral.
GGAAAUUCUCUUACUUCCUAACCUAGCAUUCUGUUCCAAGAGCAAGGCAUCCGGACUUAGACCAUCCAUCACACUUAACAGCCCCGAUUCUUUUAUAUUAAUGAGAGCAUUUUUCUAUUUUCAUAUCUUUCUUUAAUUUUAAUGAUACAUUGUCAUAAAUGAUAAGGUUUUGUUAAUAUCACUUACUUAAAUGUCUUCUAAAGAAAAAUAUUUAAAUUGUUUAAUGUAAUUGUAUUCAUAAAUGCUGGUAGAUUUAAAGGUUUUAAAGCUUUAUUUUUAUUAAUAUUGCAGGAUAGAAGGAUAAAGGAUGCAUAUGUAAUAUUUUUAUUUUGAAGGGGAAUGUACAAUGUGUGAACAAAAACAUUAAGAGAUUUUACAUAGUGUUUUCUUAUUUUAGAUUUUUAUAUUCAGCAAGUACAAAUCCUCAUAUAUAUAAGCUAUUGUGUACAAAUUCGGGGGAAAUCUGAUUAGUUGUCAUUUACCAGAAGCUGUGCUCCAGUAUUUUUUUCUGUAUAUAUCUGGUUUGAGCUUCUAAGAGAAUUUUAGAUAGUGGGAUGGACUAUAAUCCCCUCUAUAGGUUUCUACAUUUGAGUAGUAGGAUUGUGGGACUGUUAUGGAGAAGACAUCUUAGAUGUCCAUAUUCUGUGGUUGUUCCUUUAUUUGCCUGUCCAAUGACAGCAAGAACCUUUCUGAUUUAGAGUCUUUUAAAUUGACUAGAACUUUUCUGACUAUAUUAUGCCUUAGUUUUCCUAGUAAACAAAAGGAAAGCCUAGGAAUAUGAAACUAAUGAAAAAGGCAUUUAGUAGAUACUUUGCUAGACAUUGUGGAUGUAACAGUUCAUUUCUUAUAUUGCAUUGUGCCUUUCCAAUGAUGUCAAGCCCUAGAAGUA